GCAUAUUAAAUAGAUUAUGAAUUAUUUUGGGAAUUAUUAGUUUGGAUUAUUUUAAUUUGAGGUGAAUAUGUUUAGGUUGUGAAUGACGUUUCAUAUUUGAUAUCGUUGGCAUUUGAGGAUAAGAUUUGGUGGAGUGUGCUAUAAAUCGUUUGGAAGUAUCAGGUACGGAUUUCGUACUCUUUCAGCGAUACUCUUGUUAAAUUUUAUUUGUUCAUUUGUUCCUCGUUUCAAAUUUCUGUUAUUAUUUCACAUAAUUGUUUCUUGUGAAAUUGAUAUAUUUGUUUCAUUUUGGAGUUGACACAUUGGACUCGUACUUGUACUCUUUGAAUCAGGUUAUCAUGUAUAGUAUUUAUUUUGAUAAUUGUUGAGCGGUACAUGUUGCUACCUUCUUUUUGAAACCUUGUGACUAGAAUUUGAUUUGGUUCAAUAUGUACAUAUAGAACCCUUUUGUUGGUAUUAUGUCGCAUGUGUUGUGGCAUAGUAUUUUUGAUAGAAUAUACCGUAGGGUAUACCUAAGCUACAACCAUCUGUGGGGGUACCACAGGCAUGUCAUCUUGGCACGAGAGGCAUGACACUUUCCGUGGCGGUGUGAUUAGUCCACGGCGUCUCCGUUUUGGGCUCCGGAGAAAGUGGGCCAUUUGGUGUUUUGUUGUGGGAGGCGUAUGGGUUAACCCUAGUUUUCUGUUCUGCAAAUUGGUGAUGUUGUGCCAAACACACCUAUCCGAUUUGCAUACAUUUGGAUUCACAGUCCAAUGUGUGAGUGACUGUGUUGCAUUAUUUUGAUUUGCCUGUGUGGCAUUAUUUGAUGUGCCUGUGUGGCAUUAUUUUGGUUGCCUAUGAGGCAUCAUUUGAUUUUCCUGUGUGGCAUUCGUUUGACUUGCCUGUGUGGCAAUGUGUAUUUCUGAGCUCAUUAGGUAUGAAAUAACACCCAACUAUUUGAUUCAGCCUAUUAUCUCAUUGUAUUGGUUUUAUUUGUUUCUAUUCAGUUUAAAUUCAUUGAGUUAGUUACUUCAGUUCAUUAUUUAUUUACUCUUCUGUUGAUUCAGAUAUAUUCCAUUCAGAUCUUUGGAGAUUAUAUUUUUGUCAGUAUCUACACUUGAGGCUUUGUUCAGUAUUUUGUCUCAGUUAUUUUCAUAUAUCAGUUGUAUAUCUUUUGUAUAACUGUAUCCAUACUGGGCAAUUGGCUCAUGCUGUGUUUUUCUUCAGGUAGGUUUGCAGGGGUGAUUCAGGGCUAGUGUGAUGAGAGAGUUGCCUUUGACCACCUAGGUUGUUUCGAAUUUUAAGUUUUGAUUAUUUUGACUCUAUUUGGAGAAUUGUAUUUAGUACGCUAUUAAUGGAUCACCGCUAUUAAUAUUUUGAAGUUAUUAGUGCUCUGUUUACUAAUUUGAGGUUUGUUGUGCUUUGUGCGUGACCUCCAUUUCUUCUUCGGGAAGGGGGUGUUACAUUUCCACUACAGCAAUUACCUCUUUUUGACUUUCUUUCUCUGGGGCUCUCUCAUUUUCUUCAGGAGCAACUUCUUCUGUUAUAGGGAUAUCAUGAUGCUCCCCCUCAACAUGAUCAUCCAUUUGCAUUUUAAAUGGCUCCUCCUCAGCUGGAGCAUUCUCUAAAGUGAGAAUUUGAGGUAGCUCCCCCUCAGCUGUAGCUGUGUCCUCUUGUCUUGCUUCAGAUAGCUCCUUCUCAGUGACUACCUUUUUGUCUUCUUCUUUAAAUACUUAUUUAUUAACAAAAUUUAAUUUUUGACCAAUUUCCUUCUUGGUUUCCUGGGCUGAGCCACAGCCUUAUGACUUUCUCCAGCUUCAGCUCUUAUUGGUCGAUCAGACUGAGAGUUUGUUGCAGCAACUUCUUUGGGAGAGUUGUCUUGUCUGGUCUCUAUAAUUGGUAGGGACUCUAUAAUCGAAGAGACAGAUGGCCUCUUGAAUUUGUGACUGUGUUUACUCUUCUUCAGCAGCUGAGAGAUGGUAGCUUUGUCUUCAUCUGCCUCAGCCUGCUGUUCUUUCCUUAUCAAGAUCCUUAGAGUUUCAAUGUCAGAACAUUCUUGAGGUGCAUCAGUGGUUGAGGGUUCCUCUGUCAUUUGAGCCUUCAGCUUUCUCUUGCCCUUACUUUUUCUGACUAAAGAAAUGGGUUCUUCGUUGUUGAUCUCUUCCUCUUUUUCUUUAGUCUCCUUGACAACAGACAUGUUUCCUGGAAUCCCUGAUUCCUUGGCAUCACCAGUCCUUCCACUAGACUCAUACAUCAUUUUUACAUUCUCUGCUGGAUUCCUUUUCCAGUUCUCGAACAACUGCUGAGUCAUUCUUCUGUUUGGAUUUAUGAAUUCGUCUUCAUCAUCCCCAAUUUUAUCUCCCAAAGCCGACUAUAGGAUGAUGCUAAUGAUCGCCCAUAGAGCAUCUUUCCAGAGCUCUUUUAUUUCUUCUAACGUAGGAUCCAUUUCCCAAUCCAGUCAAAUAGUAGAGAUGCAUAGUUGAGUUGAAUGCCACAGCAUAUGGCUGUCAUGAGCUUGAGUUGUACUUCAUUACAGAAUCAUGGUCAGAGCUCUUGCAGCAUAUUCAUUUCCCAAUAAUAUCUGCCAAGAAUUCAUACCUCUAAGGGAAUUCUUUCUUCUUGUAUCCUUUGACAGUGGGUAACUUCUUGUGGUGCAUUCUCUUAAGCCCUUCGUGAAAAUCGAUGCCCUCUAUGGAAGAAAACCCUUUUGAUUUGAAACCUAGGGCUAGAUUUAUCUCCUCAGACUUGAGCUUGAUUUCCACGUCCCUGACCCUCGUACUGAUGAUGUCAUUCUCGAAUACACCAUUUUUAUAGAAUUCUUUAUCAGCUUAGGGUAGAUACACGUUCUCGUACCCAGAGCCUCUUCAAGGCCAGCUUUCUUUAUCAGAGACAGAGUUUUGAGAAAUUUGGGAUCAGCUGUCUUGAACUCAUCAAAACAGAAUCUGUAACCAGAGAUGAAAUUUGAGGCUGCCAUUGAUUUCUUUGCACUGAGUAUGAUUGUUUGAGCUUUUCGGAAAGUUAGGGUUUCUGCUUGUAAAGAGAAAGACAAAGAGAGAGAGAGAGAGAUGAGGUUUUUGAACUUCUGAUUUCAAAAAGGUGUUUUCAAACUGUACUUAUAACUUCCCUCUCUCUAUUUUCUUAGUGGGGCAUGUGUCAAAUUCUGCUUCGCCCUACGAGUUUGACUGAUGAGGAAUGUACUAAUUUGCCCUUAGCUCCUUCUGAGCUAAUGUGUCCUUUGGGAGGACUACGAUCGUUGAGGUAGUCCUUAUGAUCAUUAAGUAUGCACUGCGAUUGUCGAGUCCGUUCUGCAAUCAUCGAGUCUACUCUGCAUUCAUUGAGUCUGUUCUGCAUUCGUCGAGUCUCAUUUGCAUUCGUCGAGUCUGUACUAAGAUUAUUGAAUUUUCCCGUGUCCUUGUGAUGAACUUUUGACUUAACAUUCUUCUUGGUUUAAAGUAGCUCAGGAAGGGCCAUCCUCAUGGAUUGAAUCAAGGGUUAGGUUUGUUCCUGAGGCACUUAUCAGAGAGAUUGCGUUGUUUUGUUAAACUUUGUCAUCACUGGAUGUUCCUUUGUUUUGUUGAUGGAGCUCUGCCAUCAUUGAGUCGGCACUGCGAUCAUUGAGUUUCAUUUUACUGCAGCUCUACGAUCGUGGACUUCCUUUGGUCAUGUCUACGAUUUUGAGCAUAGCCUUUAUAUCAGCAUGAUUAGCACAUACUAGAGCAUAGAUUUCAUGGUUUUAAAUUAAGCAUGCCUAGCUCACUUAUUAAUUUGUUAAACCUGGAUUCAUCUAGAGGCUUUGUAAAGACAUCAGCAAGUUGAUUUUAGUAGGGAUAUAUUGUAAAGAUUUGGUUCCAUUUUGCACAUGAUCCCUAAUGAAAUGAUACCUUAUUUCUAUAUCUUUAGUCCUAGAAUGCAUGACAGGAUUAUGUGUUAUUGCUAUGGCACUUGUGUUAUCAUAGUGAAUAGGUAUAGAUUUGAAUUCAAACCCAUAGUCUGCUAGCUGGUUUUUCAUCUAGAGGAUUUGAGCACAGCAACUUCCAGAAGCAAUGUAUUCAGCUUCUGCAGUUGAAGUAGAUAAUGAGUUUUGCUUCUUGCUAAACCAGGACACAAGUCUAUUUCCUAGCAACUGACAGGUGCCACUGGUACUUUUUCUGUCUAUUUUGUAACAUGCAAAGUCAGCAUCUGUAUAUCCUGUUAGUUCAAAUGAGGACUCCUUGGGACACCAAAGCCCCAAGUGAGGUGUGCCCUUGAGGUACCUAAAAAUCCUUUUCACAGCAGUUAAGUGUGAUUCCUUAGGAUUAGCUUGAAAUCUAGCACAUAUGCAUGUUGCAAACAUUAUGUUUGGUCUACUUGCAGUCAGAUAUAGAAGAGAGCCAAUCAUACCUCUGUAUUGAGUUAUGUUAAUACUUUUACCUUUUUCAUCUUUGUCAAGCUUGGUUGUUGGAACAAUUAGAGUUUUCAUGGGAGAGGCUGAUUCCAUGCCAUACUUUUAAAGUAUGUCUUUAAUGUAUUUGGCUUAGUUUAUGAAGAUACCUUCAUCAGUCUGCUUUACUUGCAGUCCAAGGAAGAAGUUCAGCUCACCCAUCAUGCUCAUUUUAAACUUGCUCUGCAUAAGCUUGGAAAAUCUCUUGCAUAACUUUUCAUCAGUAAAUCCAAAAAUAAUGUCAUCAACAUAUAUUUGAACUAAUAAGACUUUGUCUUUAUGCUUUCUAAGAAAUAAUGUGGUAUCUACUCUACCUCUAGUGAACCCAUUUUCAUUAAGAAAGUUAGUUAAUGUUUUAUACCAUGCUCUAGGUGCUUGUUUAAGACCAUUUAAGUCUUUGUCUAAUCUAUAGACGUACUUUGAGAGAGAUGGAUUGAUGAAACCUGGAGGUUGUUCUACAUAUACUUCUUCUUAAAGUUCACCAUUUAGGAAUGUACUUUUGACAUCCAUCUGAAAGACUUUGAACUUCAUAUGAGCAGCAAAGGCUAGGAAUAUUCUGAUGGCUUCUAGUCUGGCAAUAGGUGCAAAUGUCUCAUCGUAGUCAAUGCCUUCUUCCUGAGAGUAACUCUUGGCCACUAGUCUUGCUUUAUUCCUGGUUAUUACUCCAUCUUCAUCCAUCUUGUUUCUGAAGACCCACUUAGUUCCAAUGACAGGAUGACUUUUUGGUCUUGAACCAAUAUCCAUACUUUGCUUCUUUCAAACUAAUUAAGUUCUUCCUACAUGGCUUCUAUCCAGCUGGAGUCUUCCAUAGCAUCCUCAAUCUUCUUAAGUUCCAUUUAUGACAGGAAACUCAGAUAAAAACAUUCAUUUUGGGUGGUAGCUCUUAUUUUGACUCUUGCACUACGAUCUCCAAUGAUUAAGUCUUGAGUGUGAUCUCUUGCCCAUUUAUUUCCUGUUCGGACAUCUUUCCUGAUGCCUUCUUGUUUGAGAUUUUCAAGAUCAAUUUCUACUUCUUGAUGUGGAGGUUCGUUAUCUUGCGUAGUCCUCUCUACGAUCUCAUUUCCUUGCUCAACGAUUCCACUAUCUAGAACUACAAUCGUAGUGUUGAGCUCGACGUCCUCAUUUGUAGUGUCUGAACUGUCAUUCGUAGAGUCUUGAGGCACUAUUUUGUCCAAGUUUGUUUCAUCGAAGAUGAUGUAGAUUGAGAUUUUAAUGCUCAGUGUCUUUUUGUUGAACACUCUGUAGGCCUUACUGUCUGUGGCAUAUCCAAGAAAGAUUCCUUCAUCUGACUUGGGUUGGAACUUUGACAAAUAUUGCUUUCCAUUGUUGAGAAUAUAACAUGCACAGCCGAAUGCAUGGAAGUAGCUGACAUUUGGCUUUUUCCUUUCCAUAGUUCGUAGGGAGUCUUCUUAAUCGUAGAGUGUAUCAGUGAUCUGUUCUGAGUGUAGCAUGCAGUGUUGACAACUUCGGCCCAGAAGUACUCAGGCAGAUGGGUUGCUGCUAGUAGAGUUAUUCCAGCCUCUAUUAAUGUUCUAUUCUUUCUUUCAGCUACUCUAUUUUAUUAAGGAGUUUGUGGAGCUAAGAAGUUGUGACUGAUGCCAUUGUGUGUGCAGAACUGGUCCAUUUUAGAGAAGUCAAAUUAUCUUCCAUGAUCAAUCCUUAUAGCCUUAAUUUUCUCCCCUUUCUCGUUCAUUACUAGUCUGAACAUCUUGAUCAGUUGGGAUCUUGUUUCAGCUUUCGAGGUUAAAAAGAACACCCAUUAGAAUCUAGUAUAGUCGUCCACUACGACUAGUGAAUAUCUCUUCCCUCCAAGGCUCGUUGUUGGAAUAUGUCCAAAUAAAUCCAUGUGAAGCAACAGCAGGGGUUUGUCAAUUGAGUUUGCAGUUUUGCUUUUAAAUGAGCUUCUAGUCUGCUUUCCAAGCUGACAAGCAUUACAAGGCCUUUCUUUGAAGAAGCUGAACUUGGGCAACCCUGCAACUAGAUCCUUUGAGGCCAGUUUAGACAUGCUCUUGAAGUUUAGAUGAGACAGUCUUCUAUGCCACAGCCAGCUCAUUUCUUCAAAUGCUUUCGCCAGAAAGCAUAUUGUCUCGUCUGAGCUUAGUUUACCAAGAUUUAUUGUGUAGACAUUUCCUUCUCUUAUUCCGGUCAGCUUUAUAGCAGAUGUCUUCAGAUCUUUAACUUAACAGUGAUUGUUGAGGAAUCACAGAAGAUUAUGCUGGAGUCCUUCCACAUAGUCUGAGCUUAGUUUACCAAGAUUGUUGACCCUUGUCAUAGAGUUGGCUUAUGCUCAGAAGAUUAUGUUGGAGUCCUUCCACAUAGUCCACUUUGAUGAAGGACACUACACCAUUUCCUAUUGAGCCAUAUCCUCUUGUCUUGCCAGAGCCAUUAUCUCCAAAAAUGACUAAAGGACCCUCCUUUUUUAUGUAGUUAGGCAGAAGGGCUUUGUUCCUAGUCAUGUGCCUUGAGCAUCCACUGUCCAGAUACUAGGUUGUGAUUGUGGAGCUCUAUUCCUGUGGUAGCAUUAAACUUUCAUUUUGGUACCCAUACUUGCAUGGGUCCUACUAUGUUAGUACCCUUGGGAACCUAAAUCUACUUGAUUUUGGGUUUCAUAUGCGUAUGAUUAUAAUAGCAUAUUGCAGCCUUGUGACCAACCUUAUUGCACACAAAACAUCUAAUAUGAUGCAUACUUGUGUGUGUAUGCGGAUUCUUCCUCCAUUUGGACUUUUGUGGGUUAUUAGUCAUCCUUCUGUUAAACAGAUUAUUCUUCUUCUAUAUGUCUUUGUGUUUCAUGAUUUGAGAUGAGUGUACAUUUCCUCUAUUAUUCCUUCCCGGUUGGUUCGUGAAGUUGUUUUUACUCGACUCUACGAUCCUUCGACGUUGGAAAGUAGUGGCUGGGUUACUCUUCUCUUUUCUGAAACCUAGGCCAGCAUGAAAUCCUUUAUUCCUUGGAAUAUGGAUUGAAUCAGAGGAGCAAGGUUGGAUUGGUUCUUCCUUCUGUGAGGAUUUCACAAAUAUAAUGCCUCUACUAAAACUUGAAGCAUUACUAGUGCUAGUUUCCUUUACCAUUUCCACACAUGGCUCUGAGAUGGAUCCCCCAAAGCCCAAUCCUGUUCUGUCAGAGAAGCUUCUCUGGCUAGAGAUCAGGGAGUCCAUGGAUGAAGAGGAUUUAUUCCAUGUAGAGAUUGUCCUUUCUAGUUCCUCAAUCUUAGAGCUUAUACUUGACUCUCUUUAUGCAUUGAGCUCAUUUAUCUAUUUUAGAAGCUUAUUCUCAGCUUUAAACUUGGAGAGAGAGUCUGUACUAAGAAGGACUCCUUCCAGUUCUUCCUGAACUUUUUCUUUCUACUUUUGAAGAAGUGAGUAAUCUUUGGAUAGAACUCAGAACCAUUUCAUGUAUUGAUGCAAAUCAGAUGUUAUGUCAUGCAGUGCAGUUCUUAAGUCAUCCAUGUCUACAUCAGGAGAGUUAAAGUCAAAUACCUCAUUUAUACUCACUUCAUAAAUGUUUGAGGUCUUUUUGUCCUUUGCAUGCUUGACCAUCAGGAAACAAUUUGCCAUUUGAAGAUCUUCAUCAUCUCCAGAUUCGGGAGUUGAGUCAUUGUCUGAGUCACUCCACGAUCCUCCAGCUACAAGACCUUUGUCUUUUUUUGAGUCCUUUUGUUGCCUUUGAAUUCCCUCUUUGGAUGUGAUUCUUCUUUAGUUCUUCUCUAAGAGGUUUGUUUCAGUUUGCAAUGAAAUGUCCAGGCUUCUUGCAAUUGUAGCAUAUAUUAUUUAUCUACUCCUGGCUGCUAUAGUUGUUAACUUUCUUUAGUUUGCUGAUUCUGCCUUGACGCAUGAACCUUCUGAGUAUUUUUACCAGCAUUGCAAAGUCUUCAUCAUCAUCUUCAUCAUAGUCAUAGUCAUUUUCAGUGUUGACUUUGGAGAUUUUGUCAGUUUCUUUGAGAGCAAAUCCUUUAUCCUUUUUCCUUCCUUCAAAUAGAGUUUCUGCUCCUUGAGUCGGCUCCAGUUCAUAGGUAAGAAGAUUGCCAUAUAGCUGUUGAACUGUUAUUUCAUGGAGAUUUUUUGACUCUCUGAUAGUAGUGGUUUUGGCAUCCCACUUGCUAGGUAAGGCUCUCAUGAACUUUAUGAUUAGAUCUUUAUUUGGAUAGAUCUUUCCAUAGGCUCGUAGAGAGUUAAGUAGUAUGUUGAAUCUUUCGUAGGUGGAAGUGACGUUUUCUCCUUGUACAUGUGCAAACAUCUCAUAUUGUUGAGUCAGAAGAGAUUGCUUAUUUUCUCUGACUUCUUCUGUUCCUUCGUGCAUGAUGAGCAAUGCUUCCCAAACCUCCUUUGUUGUUCUGUUGUUGACCACAUUUUUGAACAGAUCAUCUUCUAAGGAUUGGAAUAAAAUAUUCUUGGCCUUCUUGUCGAGUUGAACAUCUCUCUUUUUGUUGUCUGUCCAUUCUUCUUUGACCUUGAUCUGUAUUCUAUUUGGGUCGUCUUGAGUUGGUGAAAGCUUUGUAGGAACGUAGGGCCCAUUCUGAACAGUUUCAAAUAGAUCUUCAUCUAUUGAAUCCAUGUAUGCUUGCAUCCAAACUUUCCAGUUGGCGAACUUGUCUUUGUUGCACAUAGGUGGCUUGUUGCCUCUUCCAGUCUUUGAUUCGCUUAUCAGAUGUGCCAUUGGAUCUACUUAAGCUUUGUAGGCUGUUUUCUUAAAUACUUAGUUAAUUUUGUUAUUGAUUUAAACACAGCGGAAUUAAGAUUUAUUUGAACUCCCUCUUAGAUAUGGUGAGUUAACGAGAGUGAGGUAGUUAUAACAGUUAUAGCAGUUAUGGAAAGAAUUUAAUAGACACAUCAGUUUUAAGUGGUUCAGAGCACUUAAAGCUCCUAAUCCACUCUUCUACUCCUUGAGUAGGAAAUCCACUAAGGAUAUCUUUUAUACUUUUUGAAUCUCACAGAUUCCUUCUAGACCAGCAGUCUAGGCACUUCUUAGUUCACUUUUGAACUCUUCAAGUCCAGCAAACUUGGUUCUUCAUAGUUCACUUAAAACUCUUCAAGUCCUUCUGACUUGGAACUUCUUACUUCACUUGAUUGGUAGUUGAUGAGUUCUUGAUUGGUGCUACUCAGUUGUCAUUAAGCUCUUGUUCAAAAGAACUGAGUAGUUGAGCAAGAUUUUCUCUUUUUCAGAUCAUAGAGUUGAGAGUUUAGCGUUGAGUGUUCUUCAGCGUUUUGUUCAAUGCUUGCUUACUCUCUAUCAUCUGCAGAAGUUUUGCAUAUAUGUUAUCCUUGAAAUGUAUUAGUUGAAUAUAUCCGUUGAAGCAUUAAAUGCGUUUGACAUUUCCGAACUUUGAUGGAGACUUUUCUUCACAUCUUUUGAUUAGUAUUGUGGCCCACUGACAUAGCAAACUGCCAUCUCACCUAACACCUGAAAAGAUGUUUUACUCUGUCCCAUGGUACUUUCCUUAGCUUCUUCAAUACGUUUCUUUGUUGUAUACUAAGGAUAUCUUCUGUGUCAUUGGGACUGGAGAAAACUUCAACGUUUAUAACCUAUUCCACAUUUGUUGGGAUUUAUCUUUAAACAAAUGUGCAAGGUUCGAUGCUUCUGACAUAGACAUAUGAUGCUCUACGAUUCUGAUCAUGGAGUCUUGCGACCUUGAUGCUUGAUCCGAUACUUAGCAAACAAGAGCCCUACAAUUUCUCUUAAGGGCUUGGCACACUACGAUCUUCACUUGCUUGUCCUGCAGACUCUACGUUUUUGAGCGCACACUACGAUCUUUGAGUUGGCUCGGCAAACGUUUGGACCACUCUACGAUUUUCGGAGAGGCCCUUCAAGGCAGACAGACUACGAUCCUCGAUACUCUACGAUUCUGCCUUGGUUUCUACAAACUCUCAAUCAGCUCAACAUACUACGAUUUUGUUGAAGCCUAUCUAGUACAUCUCAAGACAUAGAUCAACCUAACAUCUUUGAUCUCCUCAUAAAUACAUUCAUUUACAAAAUGAUAAACAUUAAAAGCUUAGAUCGACUUAACAGAUUUGAUAUAUCACUAAGUCCUUGUACAUAUAUUCUUUAAAGGACUUUACACAAAAUCAUGACCAUCUACUUUUAAACAUCAAAUCAAAAUGUGUCGUUUCCCAACAAUCAUUAUUUAACCAAAAUAAUGUAGUCAUAAAUUGACUUUAACAUUUCAUGAUUACAACAUGUAUAACAUAUCAUGCUCGCUUACAACAUAUAUAACAUAUCAUGCAAUUUAGAACAGUUCAUCAAGUCCACGUAGAAAAUAGGAACUGAAAGACUUGUCUUGAUCGUUGUUUACCAAUAACAGAUUAACAGCUUACAGCUAUCUACACUUCACGUGCCCUACACAAUUAUAUAAUCAUACACAUCAACUAUUAGUCACAUAACAACACAUAGUAAUUAUAUUGUAAACUCUACUCCACAUCUCAUAAUCCUUCAUGAUAAUUAGCACACAUUGUUCAAUUAGAAUGUGUUAACUUUUUCACUUAUGUAAUAUUCGAAAUUCAUUCAAGUGUUUAAGUCUUGCUAGGAAUACUUAUGGGUUUUAUAUUAAAUCCAUUCCAUAUCUUAUAUUGUUCAUUAACACUUGUCACGGCGUUUCGACGUUCAUUCGUCACACACCCGAAUCAUCUCUCUUGUGUAUGCUUAGUGUGCUUACAUAACUUAUCUAAUACAUCAUUUAUUAAUGUUAAUCAUCAUUAUAUUUACUAACAUUCAUGUUUUAUAACUUAGGACACCAUCUUUUAUCGUCAUGAGCACUACACUUGCAUAUGUGCAUGUCUGACCCAUGUUCCUGACCUCAAAUUGAACACCUGAAAGAUAGAAAGUUGUAGGGCUAUUCGUCCUCGUUCCGGAUUAUCUUGAAUCAAAUUAAUCGGAGUCCGUAUGAAAAUGUUAUGGCCAUUUUACUUUAGGAAGUCAAAACUGUCCGGCCGUGUCAACUAUUUCGGUGUUGUAGUGCCACAAAUAAUCUUGGGGGCCACGCUGCAGCCCCCCUUAGCAGUAUGUACGCGUUUUUUUUCUCCAGUUUUACUGUUCUUACGAAUUUUUGACCCUUUCUCCUUCCAACCUACAUAACUUGAGUUAUACACACCCAAAUCAGUCCAUUUUCGAUUCUAUGGAUUCGUAAUUCAUAGAACUACAACGUACUAGACUUAUAACAAUUUACAGAAACACUAACUAGCCUAAAUCUUGACCCAAAACUCAUGUUCAUACUAAACUUUCAUGUUUUAACAUAAUUAGCGAAUUCAUUCACUACGAAUUCGUUUCUUAACCAAAUAUAUUCAUUCAACUUGCAUUCUUUUUAUUUCUUAUCGUAUUAACACAAUCCAUCACAAAUUUUACAAUUAUACUAUGCAUUAAAUAUCAAUUUGAUAGUUUCAAAAGCUAUUUUUUAGAAAUUAAUUCACAGAAAAUCAUUAUGAACAAAAUACCUCUUGUUUAUCAAAAUUACAUGGAUUGAAUUGCUAGAACAAGCAUAUAACUCAUAAUAUAUCAUAAUAUAACCCAUAUUACACAUUACUCAUGCUCACAUCAAAUAUUUAAGAAUAAUUUUCAACAUAGCUUUAUAAGCAAACACUAUGAACAUGAUUUCAUCAUGUUCAUCAUAUCUUUGUGAAUUGAAACUUUUGAACAACUAUAAAAUCUCAUGUAAGCAUAUAUAUAUAUAUAUAUAUAUAUAUAUAUAUAUAUAUAUAUAGACACACACACACACACAUCCCAUUCACAUAUCAAAAUUAUGAAGUUUCACCAAAAGAUUUUUACAUAGAACUCUAAAACUAUGAAAACAUAAAAAAACAUGAUUUUAAAACUUGUUUUUACAACAAUUGUAUUUUGAAAAUCCUUUCAUGGCAUACAAUCAAAUAUGAAAACAUAUGAACACCACAUAUACAUAUAAAUUCAUAAUCAUGAAAACCUAAUUUUACAAAGACUAAAUACAAAAUAUCUUAAUUUAGUAUAAGGGUUAGUUUGAUACCUUUCUAGGUUGAAUUAGGAGAAAAGAUGUAGAUGAUGAAAGUUUUUCUUUUGUUUUCUCAAGGUUUCCCCUCUUCUUCUUCUUUCUCUUCUUCUUCUUCUUCUUCUUCUUCUUCUUCUUUGUAUUCUCUCUUCUUUUCUUUGUUCUUAGUUUAGACUUAGGUUUAGAAAACUAACGUAACUUAGUGUAUAUACAAUAUACAUAUAAAACAUAUAAUUAUAAAAUAUGUAACUCCCAAUAUAAUUACAUAUACUAAUUAUCAAUUUAAUAUAUAAGUUACAAAAAUUAUAAUUUUAAAAGCCAUAAGGCUUGUUUGGAAAAACUAUAUUAUUUUAAAAUCAGAUUUUAAUAGUUAGGGUCUUGUUUGGGUAAAACGAGUUUAAAAAAAAAGUAAGGCCUUGUUUGGGAAAACAGUUUUAAAAACUCUUUUAAUAGACCAUUUAACACAUAUUCUUAUUGUUAUCCUUUAAUUAAUUAAAUCUUAACAUUAAUUUAAUUAAUUAAAAGUUUAACAUCAAUUAAUCACAUAAAAUUGUCACAUUAUAAUUACUCGCUAAUUAUAGCUUCAUGUAACAAUUACCACAUCACUACAUUAUCUCAAUUAAGUUAGAACUAUAACCUAAAAUCAUUACAUAUUAAUUAAAUAUUAAAUAAUCAUUUAAUUAAUAUAAUAAACUUAAUUACAUUACUCCAUAUUAAUCACAUAAUCUCAAUAAAUAAUUCAAUUAAAAUAUUUAUUUACUUAAAUAAAUAUUAAAUUAACAUUUAAAUUCUCUUCACACCAAUUCAAAUAUUUCACAAUAUAUAGCACAUAUACACAUACUCGUACUUAAACAUCUUAAAAUAAGAAUUUUAUUUAUUAAAUUCUCAUUUAUUAAUUCUUAAAAAUCUGGGAUGUCACAUCCUUCCCUCCUUAUAAGGAUUCCGUCCUCAGAAUCAACGAAACCUCCCUUACUCGAUUUUCGCAAAAUCUCUUUCACAAUUAUCGUUGAAUAACUUCAACACGUUAACUUAGCAAAAAGUUUUACAUAUAUAUAUAUACUUCCUUUAUUUCUUCAACAACUUUUAGGUUUUAUUACAUAACCUUCAAUUAAACAUAGUCAUAUAUCAAAUAUUAUAUAUUCUUUAACCCAUUCAUUUCCUUUUCUAAGGAUCGUUAUCAUAAACACUCGGGAUAUUACAUUCACCCUUUCUUCUAAGAAUUUUGUCCUCGAAAUUUUAUUUAUUAAUCUUCAUUCAUUCAAUCUAUCAAAAUAGAUUUUACGUUAAUCUCUAUUCACUUGAUUAAAGCGUUCUACAACUACUUCUUUCUAAUGGUUAUUCUUCUCGCUACAUUCUCCAUCAUAAUAAUAAGAAUCUUCCAAAAUUGCUCAAUAAUUGGGAAGCAAUAUAAAUAACUCAGGAAUUUAAAAGGUUCUUAUAAUGUUGAGUGGUCGCAAGACCUUGAACUUCUUUCUAGGUUUAAUAGUGCUUCACCCCCGGUACUUCACACUAUAAACUGCAUCGGUACUCUAGGUGGCUAGCCUAUCAUACCACUACGUCGGGCCCAAAUGUAUUACAUCGUAACGACUAUAUGCGUUACAUUCGGAACUAUUGUCUCCGAUAACAUGUCCCCUUUUAUAGGGUUGUUCACCUCAGCUUUUUAACAUCUAAAUCCACACCAAACAAUUUUGUUUGGCAUAGUUUGACCAAAAACGCUCGAAUUCCAUAAACAUCUUUCAAUAUUUGUCUAGUUGAAUCAAGUAGCAUAGACUUCUAGCAAAAAUUCGGACAUCAAUCAAAAUAUAUAUAUCUUUAACCAACUCAAAAAAACAUAUUUUGUUUCAUUUAAGGAAACUAAAAAUAAAUAAAUAAAUCGUUUCAUAAUAUCAUGAUACCAUACCGUAGUAAUGGUAUGUUGAGGAUUUUGUCAUUACAUGACGUCGUCAUACUACAUCAUACCAUAGUGGGCUGACGAUCAUAUGAUCACAUCCAACACUAUGUUUAACUGCAUUGAUGACUUCCUCGUUUGUCAAAUCAACAUCAUAUUUAGUGAUGCCUUAUUGACUACGGAAAAAGAAACAAAAUACAUUUUGAUAUUUUUAAAUCAUUUUUUGUCUAGCCGAAACAAUUACAAUAGACAUACGCAUAACGAUAUUGUUUUUGAAAAUCAUUGGUUCCAUCAUUUGAUUCAAUGUUUUUCAAGAAAAAUAGAAGUGUAAACAUCAUCACGAAGUCAAUAAAUUUCGAAAAUCUAGCAAAGCUAGAAGAUUUGGAAAACAUAUGUCUCCACCAACAACUCUACUUUCUAUAAUAAUCCUUUGCUUAAUAAUUCUAUCUAUUCCUAUAAUCCUCAAUUCUUCAUUCACAACUUAUCUAUACCCCAGUAUAGCUCAUCAAACUUACCACACUUUGGAAGUUCUGGAACUUACCACAAUAAUAUGAGUUUAAGAACGUAUCCUAGUCAGACCAUAGGCUUCCAUUCGCCGAGGGGUUCAAAACAUUCCAUAUUGUUAUGAGUCACAAACUUACCAUAUGCAUUAGUUUUAAGAAUCGUACCUAAUCUUAAUAUCGUCUAUCCUAACCUUAAAAGCCUCUAACUAUCAAAUAUACACAUGAGAAAAGAAUUACCUUUCCACCACAUAUACAUUGAUAGCGCGACACCAACAUUCCAAUAAUUAUCAAUGUAAUAAACCAAGUAUAUGCACCAAAUCUCUGCCCAUACAAACGUUUGUACAACUCAGCCACCACAUGAGUACUCGGUUGAAAUCCCACUUAACUCUAUCUUACGUAUAAUUUCUCGGCCUAUACUCGAUACAUACUUCUUUAUCUCAUCAUUUAUAACUCCUCGUGAGUUAAUCUCGUACUAUAUCAUAGUACAUUCUCGUUAUAGUUCCAAACUAUAACCAUUCAAUCAUUACCGACCAUCUGUCUUUUACAACUUUAAAACGAAUCACAAUGUGAUCUUAUUCUAUAAUCAUCUCCCUUCUGAUUCUUUUCUUAUCUAAUUAUCGUUUUGUUUUAAAAACUUCUUAUCUUUACCUUUCAUCAUAUCAUACUAUGAUUUCAUUUAUGCUUUUGAUCUUAUAGACCUUGUCUAUUCAUCGUUAUUCGUCAUCUUGAUUAUUGGAGGUAGGAAACUCCUGAUUCUUAUCUACAUAUCUCUUCAAGAUUCUUCUUUGAAUCUUCUUGUUUAUUUAUUAACUCUUCCUUUAAGAAUUUAAUAUAAUUCACGUUACUCAAUAUUUUAUUCGAGUUUUAUCCCUCGCCAUUCUAAUAUUCUUCUUAUAACAUUUCUAGGACUAAACUCAUCCUAUACAUCUACGUAUGUGAAAAAGAAUCACCUUUUCAUUAUACGUAACUUAAACUUAACUUCUUAUUCUUUUAACCUAAGUUCAUAGCCUAAGGUACUCUUACCUAAGGUGUAUAACAUAUCAACUUUGAUACCAACUAUAACGACCACAAAAUUCAUAUAAUAAUAUUCUCCUUCUCGAUCGUUAACAAUACAAAUUUAAUCUAUCUUUACAUCAUUAUUCGAUAUUAAAAUCACUAAAAAUGCAGAAUAUUUAAAACUUUUAUACAUUUCCUUCUGUAUUACCCUAAAUCGCAACCUUUACAUUACAUCUCUUCGAUUCAAAUUUAUAUCAUGAAUCGUUACAACAAAAUGACUAUACAAAGUCUUACAUCAUAAAUAGAUAUCCAUAUACACCGGAUAGCUCAACUUAUAAUUCAACAUGUUACAUUCAAAAUAUUAAAUACAUUUCUCAUAAAACAUAAGUAAUCUUCGUGAAUAUAGAUCUCUAUAAUUCACUUAGCACAUAUCCUUACCUUUAAAUCUUGACCUGCAAAAAUUAUUAUUUGCAAGAGUGAGCUCAACAGCUUAGCAAGUUCUAACAAUUUUCAUGCAUCACAUAGCACAUAAUAAUAUGCCCAACAUACAUAUCCUAAUAAUUAAAGUAACAUGGCAUACAUGAUUUAAUUCAUAUAGAAAAUAUAAAGAAUGAGUUUCUUACUCAAUCAUCAUUAUUUAGCCAAAACAAUGUAGUCAUAAAUUGACUUUAACAUUUCAUGAUUUCAACAUGUAUAACAUAUCAUGCUCGCUUACAACAUAUAUAAUAUAUCAUGCAAUUUAAGAUAGUUCAUCAAGUUCACGUAGAAAAUAGGAAUCGAAAGACUUGCCUUGAUCGUUGUUUACCAAUAACAGAUUAACAACUUAUAGCUAUCUACACUUUAUGUGCCCUACACAAUUAUAUAAUCAUACACAUCAACUAUUAGUCACAUAACAAUACAUAGUAAUUAUAAUGUAAACUCUACUCCAUAUCUCAGAAUCCUUCCUGUUAAUUAGCACACAAUGUUCAAUUAGAUUGUGUUAACUUUUUGACUUAUGUAAUAUUUGAAAUUCAUUCAAUUGUUUAAGUCUUGCUAGGAAUACUUAUGGGUUUUAUAUUAAAUCCAUUCCAUAUCUUAUAAUGUUCAUUAACACUUGUCAUGGCGUUUUGACGAUCAUUCAUCACGCACACAAAUCGUCUCUCUUGUGUAUGCUUAGUGUGCUUACAUAACUUAUCUAAUACAUCAUUUAUUAAUGUUAAUCAUCAUUAUAUUUACUAACAUUCAUGUUUUAUAACUUAGAACACCAUCUUUUAUCGUCAGGAGCACUACACUUGCACGUGCAUGCCCAACGCCUUCCGAUUGCCUCCUAAUACAUAUUAGUCCCACAAAUGACCAUUUUACCCUAGUUCCCGACAUCAAAUUGAACACCUUAAAUAAUGAAAGUUGUAAGACUAUUCGUUCUCAUUCCGGAUCAUCUUGAAUCACCUCAAUCGGAGUCCGUAUGAAAACGUUAUGAACAUUUUACUACAGGAAGUCAAAACUGUCUGGUCGUGUCAACUAUUUCGGUGCUGCAGUGCCCCAAAUAGCCUUGGGGGCCACACUGCAGCGGCCCUUAGCAGUAUGUACGCAUUUUUGUUUCUCCAGUUUUACUGUUCUUACGAAUUUUUGACCCUUUCUCCUUCUAACCUUCAUAACUUGAGUUAUACACACCCAAAUCAGUCCGUUUUAGACUCUAUGGAUUCGUAAUUCAUAGAACUACAACAUACUAGACUUAUAACAAUUUAAAGAAAUACUAACUAUCCUAAAUCUUGAUCCAAAACUUAUGUUCAUACUAAACUUUAAUGUUUUAACAUAUUUAGCAAAUUUAUUCACUACGAAUUCGUUUUUUAACCAAAUAUAUUCAUUCAACUUGCAUUCUUUUUGUGUCUUAUUGUAUUAACACAAUCCAUCACCAAUUUUAAAAUUAUACUAUGAAUUAAACAUCAACUUGAUAGUUUCAAAAGCUAUUUUUUAGAAAUUAAUUCAUAGAAAAUCAUUAUGAAUAAAAUUCUUCUUUUUUAUCAAAAUCACAUGGAUUGAAUUGCUAGAACAACCAUAUAACUCAUAAUAUAACCCAUAUUACACAUAACUCAUGCUCACAUCAAAGACUUAAGAAUAUUUUUCAACAUAACUUCAUUAUCAAACACUAUGAACAUGAUUUCAUCAUAUUCAUCAUAUCUUUGUGAAUCGAAACUUUUGAACAACUAUAAAAAUCUCAUAUAAGCAUAUAUAUAUAUAUAUAUAUAUAUAUAUAAACACACACACACACAUCCCAUUCACAUAUCAAAAUUAUGAAGUUUCACCAAAAGAUUUUUACAUAGAACUCUAAAACUAUGAAAACAUAGAAGAACAUGAUUUUAAAACUUGUUUUUACAACAAUUGUAUUGUGAAAAUCCUUUCAUGGCAUACAAUCACAUAUGAAAACAUAUGAACACCGUAUAUACAUAUAAAUUCAUAAUCAUGAAAACCAAAUUUUACAAAGACUAAAUACAAAACAUCUUAAUUUAGUAUAAGGGUUAGUUUGAUACCUUUGUAGGUUGAAUUAGGAGUAAAAAUGGAGAUGAUGAAAGCUUUUCUUUUGUUUUCUCAAAGUUUCCCUUCUUCUUCUUCUUCUUCUUCUUCUUCUUCUUCUUCUUCCUCUUCUUCUCUUCUGUAUUCUCUCUUCUUCUCCUUUUUCUUUGUUUAGACUUAGGUUUAGAAAACUAAAGUAACUUAGUGUAUAUACAAUAUACAUAUAACACAUAUAAGUAUAGAAUAUUUAACUCUCAAUUUAAUUACAUAUACUAAUUAUCAAUUUAAUAUAUAAGUUACAAAAAUUAGAAUUUUAAAAGGCCUAAGGCUUGUUUGGAAAAACCAUAUUAUUUUAAAAUCAGGUUUUACUAGUUAAGGUCUUGUUUGGGUAAAACAUGUUUAAAACAAAAGUAAGGCCAUAUUUGGGAAAACGGUUUUAAAAACUCUUUUAACUAUUUUAAUGGACCCUUUAACACAUAUUCUUAAUGUUAUCCUUUAAUUAAUUAAAUCUUAACAUUAAUUUAAUUAAUUAAAAGUUUAACAUCAAUUAAUCACAUAAAAUUGUCACAUUAUAAUUACUCGCUAAUUAUCGCUUCAUGUAACAAUUACCACAUCACUAUAUUAUCUCAAUUAAAUUAGAACUAUAACCUAAAAUCAUUACAUAAUAAUUACAUAUUAAAUAAUCAUUUAAUUAAUAUAAUAAACUUAAUUACAUUACUCCAUAUUAAUCACAUAAUCUCAAUAAAUAAUUCAAUUAAAAUAUUUAUUUACUUCAGUAAAUAUUAAAUUAAUAUUUAAACUCUCUUCACACCAAUUCACAUAUUUCACAAUAUAUAACACAUAUACACAUACUCGUACUUAAACAUCUUAAAAUAAGAAUUUUAUUUAUUAAAUUAUCAUUUAUUAAUUCUUAAAAAUCCGGGAUGUCACAAAGAUAAGGCUGAUGAUCGAUGAUCUGAAGCUCCAUCAAAAGUAUGUACAUGCUGGAACUGAUCAAACUAUCCCAUGAUAGCCAAUGAAUGAUAUGUAGUCAUUCCUCUCAAACCAGCCAAGGGCAAGAAGUCCAUACCCACGGCAUGAGUAACAAAAAUGUAAGGGGAGCUGAAUCCUGAACAAGGUAGGAUAGAAAAAGGAUCCUCAAUCAUAGUCGGGAAAAUAAACCAAGAUGUUACAUCUAUACAAUCAGCCGAUUAGAAGGAAUAAGAUAUGGAAAUCUCAUGUGUAAAUCAGUACUCAUGGUGUCUAAAAGUGCCAAUCGGUCUCAGAUGCAUCCUGAACAAGACGUAUAAGAAUACGACACUGCCUCUAAAAAACCCAGUAGGAUGGGUAUGGCAUAAUGUGGCCGACAUUAAAGUCUCUGCAAAGAUCAUAGGAAUAAUUGUACGACCCUCCCUCAGAGCCCUUACUACAAUGAUCAAGUUAAUGUCCAGGUGAUCCAUGUAGAGUGGCAUGUACAAAUAGGCUACAACGCAUAUCAAGAAAAUAUCUACUUGGGCAACCCGCCACUCAUCCUCAGAAAUGGUGAAAUCUCCUAAGUAUACCGAAUAGCUGUCUAUUGACCCGAAAUGAUUAAUCAAGAAAUCUAGAGACACAACAUAUCCUGAGGUUAUCUCAUCCAGGAUGAUUGUACGACGUAAACCUGUCAAUGUCAUGAACUGCUGUCUAAACUCACCAAUAACCACUCUAGCGCAAGGCCUGUCCAGCGAAAAAUCCAUAAUGCGCUCAUACUCCUCUAAUAUCGGAGUCAACUCAUGGGUCUCGACUCUGAAGACUUGCCUCUUGGGAAUCCAGCAAGAUAGCAUCUCCUCUAUAAAACCCACCAGAACCUGGAAGGUAAGAAAAGCUAUAAAGUGUCUUAGCAUAUGAUCAACGGUCAUCCGAUCUAAAUGAGGCAAACUCUCAUACGAAGACCUAAAAUAUUAGGCUAUCUAGGUGGGCGGGCUAUGCCCAAUAUGGGUAAAAAUGGAUGAAGACAUCUGUAGAACCGUAUCAUGAAACCAUCCAGCGGUCAAUGCUAAACUCAUCAAUAUACAUGCAUAUCCAUGAUAUAUAGUUAAUGCAUCAUGAUAAAUGACAAUAUGAUGCAAUAAAUCUAGAGCAUUAUACAUACAUUUCUAAAUACAUCAUAGGAUAAAGAUACGUACAUCAUCUCUGUCUAUAACUAAAAAUAAAAAGUAAAGAGAAAAGGGGCACAUCCGCCCAAUAGCUAACAAAGGCCUAUCAAAAGAGAUAACGAGAACCUAUCAAAAGAAAUCUAUGAUGUCUACAUCAACUAGCCUAUCAACUUGCUGUAACUCUUCUCGAGUCAUCGUAUCUCUGCUAGAGGGAAUAUCCGGUAGAUACAGAGGGGGAUAUGCUCCAGUGAAACUGUCAGAAUAUGGGUCACGUGAGGGACCAGUGCCAGAGGGGGAUGGAUCAAAAAAAUCUUCCUUUGACGGAUCUCAGCCCAGAUAACUGAUGAAAAAAUGUGCCCGGUCCAACCUCUGGGUCAAGCUAGCAAUCUACUCUAAAUAAGUAAGCUGUCUAACGAAGGCAAUCUAGUCUGUCAUCAUCACAAACCCGGGAACCAUGUUCUCCAGGAACUGAGUGGCGUAGGUUUGAGCCCCAAUGGUGUGAGGAGUCCACCAACGAUUGAAAGCAUCCUGAGUGAAAGGACCCUCUGAUAAAGAAAAGCUAUCUAAGCCCACCAAGAGAAUCUGUAUGGCCAGCUGAGAUAAAGACCAAUGGCAUCUAGCAGGAGGAAGAUAUGGAAUAUGAAUCUCCCUUUUUAGUGCUCCUAAAAAGGGAGCUCCCAAUCUCCCUCGAUCAAGAAGGGGAUCCGAUGAGUGGACAAUGCAUACUAUGCCCCGAUCAGAAAAUUGUCCUAAAAACCAACAGUCAGAUGAUUUGGGGUGUAAGAAACCUAUGUGAUGACAUCAGUAGUCAACAACUCUAACUAUAAAUGAGAAUGAGUAAACCCCUCUGCCACAGGGACCUCUGCUAAGAUGGAAUAAUGCUAGCACUGUCCCUGCGGAUAGGUCUCCAGACCUAAAGUGGUAAUUAGGCAUAGGCAAUGGAGCCUUUCAUAUGCACAAAAAUUUAAAUGCAAAGAUUAAAUGUCAUCAUUUAUGAAUACUGACAACCCGAGUAGAGGGAAAUUAAAAGAUAAAAGGAAAUUACUCACCAGCAAAAUUAGGUAAAAUCCUAGCCAAGCCUCUAUCACACCCUCUAAACGUAGGCACAUCCCUCAAAGAAAGUAAGCAAAGGGGAAUGAACCUUAGUCAAAGUCUCUGAUGCGGUCCACAUCACGAGUAGCACUAACAAUAGCAAAGAAGAUCGUUGAGGAGGAUUUGUCUGCCAAGAAGCAACCCCUAAGGAUGAUCAAGAACAAUCGCCAAAGAAUGCGAUCUCUAUCCCUCUAAUCAAUAGGCAGAGGCCCGAACAAAGCUCCACUCGAAGCAUCAAUGCUCAAAGGGCUAGAACGGACAGCCCGACCCUUGAGGGCCGAAGGAGGAACUCCUAAGAGGGAUCGAACUGCAACUGGUGAAAUAUUAGCCACUAAGGGCACCAACUCCCCUGUAAAAUCUAAUCCAGUGAUGAACCGCUAAUCCAUCGGUGUCAUAAUCACCUCGUAGUUCAGUAAAUGGAGAGACUGAGUCUAGUGAUACUAGUGCUCAGACAAAGCCCUCAGAUAACCCUAGGGACAGCGACGAGGAGUAAUAGAAAAGAAAGCCUGAAAGCCCCAAGAGUGGACAAUCUCCUGAUACUUCGGAUGAAGGGUCCGGUAUAAAGAAUGAAUUCUAAACCAGUUCCCCCUUAGCUAAUUGAAGUCAGGAACCUGCAUCAAUUUUCAAUCAAGAUUAAACCUUUGUUCCAAAAGUGGAGAAAGAAGAAAGGCGAAAAUGAAAACUUCUAUUGCCUUGUUCGCGUGAAGAUAGAUCGACGGGUGAUAUCUCAAAUCAUCCAAAAGAUCUAAAAUCAUCACAUUAAUAGCAGAAGUGUGAUACCCCCAAAUCCGGGUACAUUUUACCUCAGAUCUGGUACAUCAUUUCUAUAACUAUUGCGAAAGAUAUAAACAUAAAUUGUUUAUACAUUAAACUUUUACACAUCAUUCCCAAGGUCUACAACCUUAACUAAAUACAUACCUUCAAUAUCUAAAAAGGUUUAUAAUGCUAUUUUUGUCAGAAAAUUUAAUACAUCUAACUGCACCAUAAUUUAAUCUUGCACUUUGCCUUUACCUCUGUCCUUAUUCAAGCUUUCAUCUUAAUCUGAAAAUUUUAUCAUGAUAUAGCAAGGGUGAUCAACAAAUUUGCCCAACAAGUUUUAAAUACAAUGGAGAUAUAUCAUGAUUGAAAAGAAUGAAUAAGCUUUCAAAUUUUCAACAAAAUAAUAAUUGUGAAAUAACAUAAAUCAGGUUUCAAUAAUUGCACAACUGAAUCAAUAAUGUUUGAAGGUCAACAAUGACCAUGAACAAUUUAAUUGAACCUUAUGGUAAUGAAGGUGAUCAGCCUUUCAUACCUGAUGAACAUAUACAACAUGCACUAAGUGUGAAUCAAUAAUCUGUAUAAAAGUGAAUAAUCAACAACAACUAUUCACUAACAUGCUUUGAACAUACAACUCAAGUUUGAGUUAGGGAAACUUUCCUGAACCGUUGAUUACUGCUACGCAAUCUAAGUUAACGUCCUUAUUGAAAAGACCUAUCAGUUAUAAGAUUUAUCUUUCAAUUAGUAUAACAUGUCUAUUAACUCAUCAUCUUAUAUUAAAUUGUCUAACAUAGUUAAGCAUUAGACAUUACAUUAUAGCCUUAGUAUUAUCAUUAUACUUUGAUAAUCUUUUCAUCACUUAUAACUUAUACUUAUAAGUUUUCCCUUUCUCUAUUAUCGUAGUAAGCUAGAUAACCUUUCAGUAAACUGAAAUAUCAUUUCAGUAAACCGGAUUACGUUUCAGCAUCCUGAAAUUACUAUUUCAGCAGACCACAAAAUAUUUUAGUAGACUGAAACCAUUUCAGCAAUCCAAAAUCCAAUUCAGCACCCUGAAUUCUCAUUUUAGUCUAUUACAAGCAUAACAUAGUUCAUUGAAUACCGAAUUCAAUAAUUAUAUUGAAAAAUAACAUAAAUCUCUUAUUUUUAUCUCCCGUCGAAUAUUAUUAAUUAUGUAAUAAUAUUUUACGCUAAGGUUAUUAAUCUUUUAAUAACAUUCCAAUCAAAUACUACUAAUAAUAUCAUAAUCUAAUAUUAUUAGACAUAUAAAAAUAAUUUAAGUCAUUAAUCACAUUAAUAAACAAUUAUUUUCAAUUGUUUUCCUUUUAUUAAUUAACUUGUUUAAGCAUUCUAAAAUGCCCAUAAACUUCAUAACACGUCAAACCCGACCCAAAACUUCAUCAAAAACUUGCAUAAGCCAUGCUUAAGGGUCUCAAGUCAUAAAUCAUAUUUUUCAUAUUUUCGGACAUCAUAUAUUUACUUAAAUCCAUUUAUCCAUUUAUCAUCAUUUAGAUGAAAAAUAUCAAAUCAGUCCAAAAAAUAUUAUUGUUCUGAGAUUUGAUAGAAUAUAGUUCCAUAUUGAACAUAUAUUUUUUUCCGGAAUUUUUAAAAUCCAUUUACUAUAUUUAAAUAGUCCAUAAUAGCUAAAUAUUCUCGGAUUUUUCAUAAAUCGAGAUUAACUCCAAAAAUUCUGAAAUUUUUACUAUAUGUUCCUGUUAUGCACAUGUACUUCCAGUAUCUAUUUUGUAGUUUUUGGACAUAUACACAGAGAGUUAUUUUGGUGGCUUCAUAAAAAUAGCCCUUCACCGUAAAAUCUAUAACUCUCAAACCGUAUGGCCAAAAAUUAUCAAAUUUUUACAAAACCUUCAUAUCUUCUAAUAUUAAUACUCCAAAUUUUUACAGAAUUUUUAAAGCACAAAAAGUUGAUGAAAUUACCCCCGUUUCAGACUGAUCCAAAAAAGUUUUAAGAAAACGGGACUAUUUUCAUCAAAAUCCACACCACAACUUUUAGAAACAUGAUUUUUGAGUUCUACCAGUUGGGUUUAGUAGUCAACACAUAUAUCUAGCACCACUCUUCGACAGAUCGAGAAAAAGAAUUCAUAGAUCAAAAAUAAUAAACAUUCAAAGCACCUAAAAGUUAGGGUUUUCAAAACUAGAAAAAUUAUUUUUCUAUUCCUUUUUGAUUCCAACCAAAUCAACACCCAAUAUGGGUAGAUCCAUACUUGAAUUCAUAUAAAUCAUAUAGAUUAAAGGGUUUUAUACAUCCAUAUUAUAAACCCCUUUCAUCAAAUCCACAAAAUAAAUUAGAGGAAUUAUACCUUUAUUCAAAAUCCUCUUUCUUCUUCUUCUUCUUCAUUGGAUGAUCUUCUCUUUCCUCUUCUUCUCCCUCAUUGGGGCUGUCGCCACUCUCCUCCUUCUCUCAUGGCUUCGGCCACUUCCUCCCUCUCUCUCUCUCUCUCUCUCUUUCUCCCGUUCUUCUCCUUUUCUUUUCCUCUUUCUCUUUCUUCUUAUCUCUUUUUCUCUUCUUAUCUCUUUCCUCUUUCUUAUCUCUAAUUGCCGUGAUUCUUCUCCGUUCUUUUUCAGCCACGUGUGGCCUCUUAUCUCGCUCAUAUUUUUUUAUUUAAUUGCUUUAUUAAAUAUCCACAAUGCCCUCAAUAAUUGGUUAAAAAAAAUUGGGCCACUUAUUAAAUCUUUUGGGCUUCCAAUUAAUCCUUUGGGCUAUGUAAUAUUUACAUAGUCCAAUCUUUUUCAUCUUAUCUCACCCUAAAUAUUUAAUUAGGUUAUCCAUUCUAAAUAUUUAGAAUUUAAAUCAUCACUCUUGUACAUUAAAUUUUAUAACCCAAUUAAACUUGUUUCAAUUAAGUUAUAAAAUUAAUAACUUGAGAUAAUAAAAAUAUAUCUCUUAACAUAAUAUAAUUUUUAAUAUUAUUAUUCUUCCACAAGUGGGAUUAGUUUGGGCCCUUAAUUAAUUCUGUUGAGCUAGCAAUUUUACUUGAUUUACUUACUAACAAAACUAACUGAGGCUUUCAACCCUAAAUAGAUUGGGUCAUUAUAAUACUUGUCCCAUACAUAAUAUAUUGGGCUAGAUUAAAUAAUUUAAUUGCCCUUAAUCACUUUAUCUACAAGUCUCAUACUUAAUUAAUUAAUUGGGCUUGUUUAAAUAAUAUAACUUCCUUAGUCCAUUAAAUUUUAAUUCACUUGAAUUAAUUCUAUGACCACUAAAUAAAAGUAACCCUUUAGGUCAUUAAAAUCUCAUACCAUAUUUAAAUAACUUAUUUAAGUUAUACAAUUUAUAUUGUAUAAUUAAAUGUAAUUUCCUCUUCCUCUUCAUAAAUUAUUUUCAAACAAUUUAUUUAUAUAUUAAAUAUAUAAUUUAAUAUAUUCAAUCAUUUAUUCAAAUAUGAAUUUAAUUUACUAACUACUUUGAUACCAAUAUACAUAUUUACAUAUUGGAUCUCAUCUCAUAUUUUUACUUUACCUCCUUUGGUAUAAAAUUAAAUAUUAUACCAUUAUCCAAAUAACAUAUUUCACUUCUCAUGCUAAUUUUGACUUUUCUCCAUAAAAAGUCAACUGUUAACUUUGACCAAAAGUCAACCUUUACACAUUUUGUGUUUACUGUCCAUUCUGACUAAACUUGAUGUUCCAGACGCAACCGAGCAGUCCAUGCUUCAAAAUUCUAUCUCUAUCUCUAACUCAAAUUUGGAGUUUUAAUUUACUCCGUUCUUAUUGGUAAUCGUAUUAACUAACGACUUUAUACUUAUUCAAAUUCUUAUUUGUCAGUCAAGGCCAACGUUCAAGCUAUGUUAAUUACUAACAUAGUUUUUAUCUUGAACCUUAUAUCAUUAACUUAAUUCAUCAUUUCUCUUGCUAAAAUAUAUAUAGCACCUUACUAAGUAUAUAUAUUUCUAUACAUAUACUCAUCUUCGUUUAACCUCAUAACAUCUCUUCAUGUGAAAUCUUAUCUCCUUAAGAAAAUUUUCAUAUGUACUUAUAUAACAUAUCUUAGACUAUUCAGUUCACAUUGAAUUUACAGGUAUCGUAAUACCUUAUUCUUGAUAUUCCUUCAACUACAUAUUAAUUCAUUUCUAAGGUUUUGGAAUUUUAUAACCCAUAUUUUCUCUAAUCUCAUUCGAAUAGCAAACCAUGUAGGUUUUACUUGAAAAUUUUAAAUAAAUCCUCAAAUUCUCAUCUAGGUUUUAUUUUUUAACCUUUAUUCUAAUCAUUCAAGAUUUUAUGAAUUUUCGAGUUAUCACAGGAAGAUCCUGAUGUGGGGUAGAAGAAAGAGUGGGGUUCUUAAUAGAAACAUCCUCCUCCUCGUCUAUGGCAUCUGUCCUAUCAACCUGAAUAUGACGAAUCACUGACUCAGUCAACCGGUGAGGUUGCCGGGUUGAAUGAUGCAAAGGAACAUUAGAAGUCAUCCUCCUCACACCAGAUGAAACCCUGUAAGAGCUAUAGCUUCUGGGUCUAUCUGAAUCCAUGGUCUGAACAAAACCUCCAAAUCACCUUAAGAAAGGGUGAGGUAUAUUUCAAAUUUAAAGCUAUUAAAUUCAAAUCAUUACAUAAUGCAUAGCCUAUGUGAUAAAUCAUGCAUUAGUUUAACAUACAUCCCAAUAAAGUUAAAUUUGCAUGUACAUUAAAUGGCCAGACUCGUGAAAAUUUUUUGCCAGUCUCCUUUAUAAAAUGGACUGUUCGCAUGCACAUAGGCAUGACUAGGUGGCCAUUCAGCAGCACAUUAACCCAACAUCAAAAGAUAAAUGUUAAAAAUCAAAAGUAAAUCACAAUGGCAGCCAAAUUACCAUGUGCAUUUUUUUUAUGAAAAUCCAUGCUCAUUUGUCCUUAAAUAGGAUAUAAAGUAACCAAAAAGGGCGAAAAAUUGACUCUCACAAAAAAUGAAAACUUUUCACAUCAGAAUGUUUAACAUGGUAAAAUAUAAACAUUUACUAGGCUCAUUCAUAUUUGAUACACUGCAUUUAAACCCAUAUUGCAUGAAAUCAACAAUUCUAACAAUCAAAACUUGAAAAGAAAGGAUGUAAACGUUACCAGAUUUGUGCAGAACGAGUGUACGGUGAAGGAAUUUGCGAAAAGCAGCCCGAACUGAGUAGUUCUGAGAUAGAAGGUUUAGAUUUUUUAGAGGUUUUCUAGUUGAAAAUGACUUCUGAAGGGCCAAGGGUAGUUUAAAUCCACCCACGGUCUGUCACGAGUCUACCUAUGGCAGCCGCUCAGGGUGGGUCCUACCCCAUUCGCCUUGAUCAAAUUUGAGUUACAACAGAGUCCCCUGAAGCCAAAAAGUCAAAUCAGGAAAAAAGGUUCUUCGCGAUUGAGCAGAAAGAGCCUAAAACCCUGAAAUGAGACGUAAAACUUUGGAAGUCUAAAAAUCUUUUGCAAACCAUUGACGACAGCUUCGAUGUAGCAUCAGGGAAUAUUCCGGUGGUGUAAACUAUUGAAAACUACUUCAGUAAAGAUCAGAGUAUCUGAUACUGCUAAUCGUUGGCAUUAAUCCAGCGUAGCAUCGGGGAAUGGUCUGGUGAUAUAAGCCAUUGAAAACUACUUCAGCGAAGAUCAGAGUAUCUGAUACUGCAAACCAUUGGGGAUAAAUCCAAUGUAGUAUUGGGGAAGGGUCCGGUGGUGUAAGCCAUUGAAAACUACUUCAGUAAAGAUCAGAGUAUCUGAUACUACAAACCGUUGGCAUCAAUCUAGUGUAGCAUCAUCUGAUGAUGUAAGCCGUUGAAAAACUAUUUCAAUGAAGACCAGGGAAUCGGAUAUUCCAAACCCUUGGCGACAACUCCAACGUAGAAUCGAAAAAACCUGGUGAAGACAACCAUGAAAAACUAUCUUCAUCGGGGAGGACCGAUGAUGGAAUCUAUUAUAAGAGAAAUCUCUAGCUGAAGCACCGAGAAAGAUCGGUGAUGUUGAAACCGUUGUAAACUCCUGUUCGAGUAGGCACCGAGAGGGUUCGGUGAUGGUAAACUUUUGUAAACUACCGUUCGAGUAGGCAUUGAGAAAGUUCGGUAAUGAUCAACCUUUACAAACUACCGUUCGAGUAGGCAUCGAGAAGGUUUGGUGAUGAUCAACCUUUGUAAACUACCAUUCGAGUAGGCAUCGAAAAUGUUCGGUGAUGGUCGACCCUUGGAAACUACCGUUCGAGUAGGCAUCGGGAGGAUUCUAUGAUAAUUGAUCAUGGAAAGCUAUAGAUUCGACAGAAAUACUGGUAUUAACUGUUUAGAAAUCCAAACUGUUGGUGACAAUCCCAACGUAGCAUCGGGAAGGAUCUGAUAAGGCAAACCAGUGAAAACUAUCAUCAUGAUAAACAUUGGGAAUCCCCAAUGAGGUCAUUCGUAAAAAGAAGAAAAUCCUAGUGGAUGUAAAACAAGAACGUGUAUCUGGAAAAGAGAGCAUUGGUAACAACUCCAAUGUGAACAUCAGGAAAGUUCGAUGGUAUCAGCCAUGAAAGUUAUCCCUAACAGAGAGUAGGGAAUGGUUAUUGAUACAACCUGUGGUAGCUAACCCGAUAGAGGCAUAUAACAUUCAUAGCAUAUCAUACCAAACAUUGCACUACAUUUUCAUUUAUCAUAUUUCCAAUGUCUAGUAAUCUUUAUCAUGUUUAUUCCAUUGCAUUGAAUAAACAUGAUAAAGAGGGGCAUCUGUAGACACUUAAAAUUUUGCAUUCCUGUUACUAAUCAUGCAGGAGGCCAAAAAUAUCUUUUAUCUUUUGGAGAUAACCCUGGAAGUCUAAAUCAUUAAACCAAACCCCCAGAAAUAGCCCUGGAGGACUAAAGUAAAUCUCAAACCAUGGAGACAACCUUGUGGGAUAUCAAGUCAGACCCCCAAAGAUAGCCUUGGGAAAUCAUCAAAUCAGGCCCUCGGAGAUAGCCUCGGGAAUUCAUCAAACUAGGCCUCUGGAGACAACCCCGAGAAAACCUUAAAUCAACCUCAGAGACAACCCUGAUGACAGACAGAAGUCAACAACAGUUAAACCCCGGAGAUAACCCUGAGGAAAGACAGUUACAGCAUAUCAAGUGCAGAAAUCAACCCAGAAGGGUAAAACGGUAAUUUUGCCAACACAACAUCAAUUUGGAUAAAACUACUAUGAAUAAUUUCAUACAAAACCAUCAUAACAAUUUCGAGUAAAAAUUGCGCCAUACAGCUCAACGGACUGACUGUAAAGACUCGAAGAUCUGGUCAUGGACUCAUCUUCCUGGAUUUACAAAAGGUUAAAGCCCAUGUCAUUGUGUAGCUCUCAGAAAGAGCUUUUCAAAAAAGUAUGGCAUGCCUCCAUCAGAUUCCCGGAUUGCGAGUUAUGAAGGUUCAAGCAAACUGUGUGUUGGUCGGAGUACACAUACUUCGAGAUAGUAGGGCCCACUAGGCCCAGCCACUGGUAGACCCAUGGCAGUUUGUGUCUAUAAAUACCCCCUCCCCCAGCUCAUUUAAAAAAAGAAAAAGAGAGAAAGGGUCCGGGAGACAAAAAUUAGGCCAUUUGAGAGUGAAAGGUAGCUUUUCUUCAUAUAUAUAUAUAUGAAUGAAUAUGCAAGUAUGCUUGCAUUAAGAAAAGUUGUAAAGUCCUCUGAUAGAUUAUAGAAACAUAUGUACAAGGACUUAGAAUGAAUUGAUCAAAUAUGUUAGGAUGAUCCUACAUAAGCUAAACAACUUUGUAAAGUCCUUAAAAAGAAAUGAUGUAUAAGGACUAUAAAUAUAGAAAGAUCAAGCUUGUUAGGUUGAUCUUAUGAUGUAAUAGAUAGGCUUGUCUGAUCAUCGAGCACUGCACUAGAAAUUGUAGUCUGCCAGGAGAUUCAAGGAAAGCUCGAGAACUAUCAAGGCAGAAUCGUAGUCUGCAAGAUAGUAGAUUUCGGAGUUUGUAGACUGCUAGGAGAGACAAGGAAUGUGACAACCGUAAUUUUGUAAUUUAAUUUUAAUAUUUAUUAGAUUGAAUAAAUUUUUUUUGAUGAAUUAAUUAUUAGAUUAAAUAAUUAAUUGAGGAAGUUGUGAUAGAUUAAUUUAAUUAUAUGUGUUAUAUUUAUUAAUUUGAUGUGGAGAAUUUUAUUAUUUGAUGUUCGUAUUUAUGUGAGCUUAUUGAAUUAAAAGAAAUAUUUAAUAAGCCUAUGUUAUUUUAAUUAAUUCAAUUAUUAAUUAGAGAUUUAAUAAUUUGAUAUUAUUAAUCGAUGAGAAAUUUAAUUAUGUGACUAUGUGCAUUAUUAAGAAAUUAUUAUAUUUUAUUUAAAUAAAUUAAACUAGAUAUUUGAUUUAUUUUAUAACGGGUGUGACAUGAUUUAAACUAUAGUAUAAAAGUGUAAUUAAAUUAAAGGAGUUUUGAGAUCUAUUAUGCUAGCCAAACAAGGCCCUAAGAGAAGUUGAUAGCAGUUACCCAUGACUGGGUAACUGACCAUCAUCACGUCAGUUUUUUUUAUACGCUUCAAGCGUAUUAUGUUGUUUCACGAAUGCUAAGUUGAGAGCUCAGAGAGAAAAGUUAAGAUUAUUGAGUGUGUGAUUGAAGAAGAAUUGAGAGGGAAUUCAUAUUCUGCAAGUUAUAUUCUACGCUUUGGGUAAUUCUCUCCAACCCAAAUUCCUAUUUUACGUCUUUUUAAGUUUUCAUGAAUAUGGCCUAAGUUUUCUGUGAAGUUUUUGUAGUUGGAAAUGGUAACAAUUAUGUGAUUAUAUGUUAAUAUAUAACAUCAUAGCAUGUUUUAUAUAUAUUAUAUGGGUUUCCAUAUCUUCAGUUUCAUGAAAUUAUACAGUAAAAGAUUUCAGAGUAUGUUAUAUGGCCAUAUGGCCUUAUACGUGUUUUUAGUAUGUCAAAUAUAAUUUAUUUUGAAUAAUUCACACAUUGAUAUGAUUAUGCAUGUUAAAAUGAACAAAAUGAAACUUGAAUGGUUGGAUUUGGCUUUAUAACGAAUCCAUAACAUUAAAAUCCAUGUUUUUGUUCAAGAACUUCAAGAACAUCAAGAACAGUACAAUUUGCAUGCUUUAAUUCUAUAAUUAUAUUUUUUUAUGGAUUAAAAUCACUUUAUAUAUGUUGGGUAAUGAUUAUGUACGAAUUAUAACAUGUGGGUAUGUUUAAUUUGGUGGAAUUAGUGUUAAAGAUGUGAUGAAUUCACUGAACUCUGUGUUCUUCGCGAACUGAGAAUCAAAAUCUGGAGUUUCGCACCGCGGUGCCAACUCCAGAACAGAAACCUCGUGCCGCAGCACCACCGCGCCACAAUGCCAUGUCUUCAGCCGCAGCGCCUCGGUGCCGCAGCGCCAAUACCCAGUACAAAAGUGUCGUGGCAGCGCCACUUAGCAGAAUGGCCGGAAAUGAGUUUUUAAAAAUGUUUAAGUGUGGCAAUGUGCUAUUAACUUAAUCUAAUGAGUAUAAAAACUUGUUAAACAUAUAAUGAGGUGUUAAAAUGAAUUAUUAACAUGUCCAUAACACAAUUACGUGUGGAUUGAAUGAUCGAAUGCAUAAUUAGUUUAUUUUUCGUGAAGUCUUAAUUUUACACUAAGUGUAAUAAUUGACUAAGUAUAGUCAUGAAUUCGAGUUAACCAAAGAGUAAAGUUAUGAUGUUAGUACAUUAAUUAUUGACUGGUAUUGUGAACGUAAUUAAUAUGUAGGAUUUAAUUCAAAGAACGAGUUUUAUUAACGUGUAAUCUACGCACAAGGCAUGUUUCUAAACCUUAUCUUGUUAAAUGGAGCAAGUUUCUUACCCUAAACUUUCGUUGAGCAAGUUUCCUAACCCUACUUGUUAUCGUUAUAUAAGUUGAUUAAUUCAUCUUUCGAUAUUGAACAAGUUCUCAUUUUUAUUGAUCAAGUCUGUCUUGUAUAUUAAAGUUUAUUAAUCUUCAAGCAUGAUGUUGUUAUACAAUAAUUAUUCUAUUGUAUACCUUUUGAGAUGUUAUUCAAGUUAAAUAAUCAUUUAUUGUUAAACCUUGUUAGACUAGUGAACCCUUUUUGAUUCGACUAGUCCAUAGUUGAUGAGCGUUCUAAAUUUCAGAACCCCUUGAUGAAUUAUCCAAACCAAACUUCCUUUGGUGCGGACUCGAAUGUCAAACUGAGAUGAACAACCCUGUAUAGGGGAUUAUUUACGCUUUAGCGUUAAGAUAUUGUGCACAGUAUGGUACUAAGGGCUGAUCCCCCUAAGUAAGAGAAGAAGAUUCCAUAGUCUUAUGACUGUUAAAGGUUUCAAGUAAAAACAGUUGACAACCUAGGACAUAGUUCAAGGUCUUAUGACCCUCAAAAUUUCUUUUGAUUCUUAUUAUCCAUUCUUGAUUCAAAAGUUGAGCUUUAUAUCAGAAGUUAUUAUUUCUCUCGCAUGUUAUUAUUCAUUGUUAUAUUUUUAUACUUGUGGGCAAUCGUGCUCAUUCUUGCGUAAUAAUAACAUUGCAGUUAAGAACAAAAGAGCAGACGAACCUUCCACUAGUAAGGGCAAGGGCAAGCUUAGCAAGUAAUGAAGACUGAUUAUUUAUGUAAUUAUGUAAUGAUAGUUAGACUUGAUGUUAAUUAAGACUUAUUUGUUUAUGUUUUCCGCACAGAUGAUUUAAGGUUAGAGUAACCUGGGAUUUAUUUAAUAUUUAGUUGAUGUAACCACAUAAGGGGAGAGAUUUUAUUAUUAUUUCUUUAUAUUGCAUGGUUUGCAUUUAUUUAUGGGUAGAUAGAUAGAUGAUGCCUGUACAGUGAACACCAAAUCCUGUGGAAAUGGAAGUACCGGAUUUGGGGGUGUCACAAGGAAGGAUCGUAGUGUGUUGAGUAGCACUUCCUCGGAGUCGUAGUCUACUGAGGAAGUCAUGUUUAGAAUCGUAGAGAUAGCCUACCUACGAGCCGACUGAGCAUCUGCCGAAGCCAAGUCAAGAAUCGUAGACUACACUCAGAGUCGUAGAGUCUAUUGAUCAUAUCAAGGCAGAAAUCGUAGUCGAGCAAGAUCAGAUGAAGACAACAAGCACAACGACAGAAAUCGUAGAGUGUCAAGAUCUGAUCUCGGAGUCGUAGUGUCUGCACAGCCGAAGCUGAAUCGUAGAGUGUAGAACUGAGACUUCAACAGAUAUGCUCACAACGCCAAGGCAGAAUCAUAGAGCUAAUACGAUUCUCAACAAAUGAGAACUCCCAGAAUAUCCAAAGGGAUGAAGCCUCUAGUUGGUACUGCAAGGAUACAUCCCACCUGAAGGAAACCAGAGCACUCAACAAAUGGCAUGCAAGCUAACAGAAGAUCUAAGCAUCAACUCAAUCAGCAUCCAGAUUGAGUUGUGAAGUCAUUCGAGAGGAAGUCUUCCACAAAGAUGAUCAUAAGAAGACUUCAGUAGCUGACUAAGGAAAGUCCGUAUGUACAGUAGCUGUCAAAGUGAUAAGAUGACAACGAUCUUGGAAGUAAUCAGGAUCAUAGUGUUUGCCAAACAAAGGAGGAACUGAUGGAGUGUACACAGAGAUAUUGGCCAGCUUCUGAAGAACAAGGAUAAAGUAAUUAAGCAUUGGGUCAGUCCAUUAAUGAUAAGUGAACGGGAGAUCACAAGGAGAAUGCGAGCUGGACACGCCACAAAUCUGAAGUGUCUUGUUGUUCAGAAGGGACCAAAACGAAGAGUCAAGCCAUCAGUAUCCGAGAACAGUCGAGGCAAAUAGAAGUAUUGAGGCACUGCACAAAAGAAGAAAGUGGUGUUCUACAAUGAAGAUCCAAUGAACAUCCUUUUAAAGAUCGUAGUGAUGACUCUACAUGGUAUCAGUCAACAAGACACUACGAUCAGGUUCGAGAAGAUGUGCAUCAGAAUCGUAGAGUUCGAACAACUAAGGAUUAAAUCAUUGGCAAUGAUUCAAUCUGAAGGUUGGUAUUAGGACAAAAGCUUAUUAAGAGCAUCGAUGCAAGGACAAUCUCUGAUCGAGAAAUCAGAAGGAGGAAAUAAAGUCGUCGACCUACGCAAGACAUCAAAGUAACAUAUCUGACGGAGUAGGUGAAAUAGUAGACUGCAGUGUCAAAAAGUCAGAAAAAGUUGACAUGUCACAUCUACAGUCUACACCAAACAACUCAAGAUCUGUGAAGUAAUUUGAAUAGCUUUCAAUGACUACUUUCUAACGGGAAGAUUGGGAAGCAGUAUAAGUCAACAGAGCUUCAAAGAUCAAGAGUUGCUGAUGAUUGCUAAGUUGCAGAAUUGUUGAGUUAUUGGGAAUGCUAUUGUUGACUCUAUGAGUUCCACCAAAGAUCAACAUAAUAAGUCUCAGUGACAGUGAGACUACAAAGGUGGAAGUGAAGCAGCUUUGAAGAAGGACUUAAACAGAUUAGAGCUUCACUCAACAAAGAUGAGAAUGCCACUGAAGAUGGCAGCCAAGCUAAGAGCCGAGAAGGCAAAAGAGAUAGCAUUCAGAAAGGUGGCAGAAUACAAAGAAGAUCAAGAGAGCCACUCUACAGAUCACCAUGAACCAAAAGAAGAAAAGGAACAGAAGCAGAAUCAUGUCUGCAGAACAUUCAAGAAGGGUUCAAGGAUUUCUAAGUGUCAGGCGAAGUCUACCAAAAGCUCAGAGACUAGGCAAAUCUAGAUGAUGAUGGUGCACAACAGACAUCAGAUAAAGAUAAGCAAAAAGGAGUAAAGAUCAGCUACACCAAACAAGAUGUGGUUCAGACUCGAAGAAGAAUGCAGAGAAGACCACACCAAGCUGCUAAUUACAGAAGAUGUUCAGAGCUUAAAGACAUCUUAGUAGCUCAACAACAACAACUACUACAACAACAAAAAGACAGGGCCUGAAGGGUCCUUGUCCGGAGGGACUAAAUGAAGUUCUAAGCCUGUUGGGCUUGAAAAGUUCCUAGGGAACUAGAGAAGUUCCAAGGCUGUUGGCCUUGAAGAGUUAUUAGUGAACUGAAGUCCCAAGGCUGCUGGCCUUGAAGGAAUCUUAGUGAUUCAGGGUGCUGCCCUUCCUUAGUGGAAAUCCUGCUAGUUGAAAGUAGAAGAGUGGAUUAGGAGCUUGAGUCUCUGAACCACUUAAAACCCCUUGUGUCUUUUACUUUAUGUCAUUUACAUUAUGUACAUUAACUGCUAUAACUGCUAUGUAUGUCUUAACUGCUUACUACUAAACUAACUCUACGAACAAUGUAUGUAUGGUUAAAAAUAUAUCAAUGAAGGUGAUCUUUUACUUAUUCCGAUGUGCUUGAAAAGAUUCUUAUGUUUGUCAUAUGCUAAAUUAUUAGCAAUACAAAAUAAACCAUAAAAGUAUUUGAAUUUAACAAGGAUCUAUUCAGCCCUCCCCCCCUUCUUGAUCUAUUAUGCCUACUGGGAACUAACAAUUGGUAUCAGAGCAGGUUCUCAUGCUAUAUUCAAAAGCUAAUCGCUUUGAGUCUGAUCCUAGGCACAAACAUUGUUCUAAACUUAGUUUAGUAGUAAGUCACUUCUUGUAUGCAGAUGAGCUCACACGUUGGAAAUAUUGUGUACAGGUAAAUGUGUAUAUACACCUGAAGCUGCUCAGAUUGGUCCAUGUUCUUGAUUGUCAUAUCAACAAGGCCAAUCCUUGCUCGCGGUCAAUCUUGUAGUCUGAAGAUUAGGCUAGAAAGCACAAAAGACAUCAACAGAAAAGAGUCAAACAUCCACCAGCCUAAAAAGUUGAAAAGGCCACACAUGCUAAGAAAUGGUUAUCCAGAGAAGAAAGAAAAUCUUCUUAAACAUGUAUCUGGCCAACCAGCAGCUGGAUGUAAACCUUAUGAACUCAAGGAUGUCAAAGAACUAAAGAUGUUGAUAUUCUCUUAUCUUGCAUCUUCAAAGACCACGACUGAUUGAUUGAAGGUCAACUGGAGCAACUAGCUGUCAGGAGCAAAUGAGAAACUAUGCACAUCAAUGCCUAAAACUCAGUAUAUUUAAGAUAAAUGACUGUUAAGAAACUGACAGUAAAAAGGUACGGUUCCUCGCUAAUAUAAAUAUGUACAUCGUAAUUGCACCCCUUUAUGAACUAUAACAGCAUUCUUUCAGGGAAUCAUAAUCUACCUAAAAAGGUUAAAGAGAGAAAGUACACUAAGGGGUGGAAACUCAAAUGCCUAUAAAAUUUCUCUCCAUUCAAGUUUUAGGUUGUAGAUGACAUCGUGAAAGAAAUCUGAAAUCGGUCAUAAGAGCAUCACAGGUAAAAUUAAUCUUAUGUGAAGUAAUCUUUGUUGAUGGGUUAGUAUAUAUGUACAACCUAUGGUCUAAGUGUUUAAUAACACACAGAGUAUGAUCAGUUCUACAAGAGUAUGUUGAAGAUUCAUAGAAACUGAUCACCUCCAUGAAUUAACCAGAUACUAAUAAAUCGUAGAAUUGAUUCUCACUCUGUGAACAUUUAAACCCUGUGAACAUAACCUAGCAAAUGAUGAAACCAUCAAACACAUUCACCAUCAUGCAUCUCAAAAUGUAUUAUCUAAACUAAUUACAUGUAUGAAUAUGACUGUUGGUGAUCGAAAUGAUGAUUAUCCAAAUAUAUGAGGAACAGGGGUUUAGAAAACUAACCUAGCAAGACCUAUUUAACCAUGGGUACCAAAAAUAGAAAUUCAUAACCUGUAGGUUCUUGGUUUAUCUAGCCACACUAAGGAGUGCUGAAGCAGAUGACUUCAGUCAAGAAGAUUCAACCAGCAGAAGGCUUAAGACUGUUCAGAAAUGUUUCUGAUAAAACUUCUAUAUGUCAAAGCCUAUCCUUGAAGACCUACUGAGCUAAUCUAAAUGAAGCUCACAUGAAGAUUUAAUGACUUCAGCCAGGAUGAGAUAUGCAUGAUUACCUUCUUCUACACAUGAAGAAAAGGAAAUCACACCACACUGAAAAGACAGUAUCAAUCAUGGGGGAGCAGUGAUCUGCUAAGGGACAACAUCACCAAGAUAUUCUAUGAAGCAAUAUACCAGCUACAAAGUCCCAAAACUUUGUGGCUGAUGAACCAAAUGAAUAUCCAUAGUCAGUAGGAACGUCUCAAAACGUACUACUGAUAACCUAUUAGCCACCCAACUCAAAAUCGUGGAGUACCUAUGAUCAAACACCUGAUUGUAGUGUAAAUACAAGAGGACACCACAAUUACAGCCAGUGCAAAUGUCUAAAGUUGGAAGAGGAACUCCUCAGCAGAAAAUGUCAAAUGAGAUAUCAGUGCAAAUCACUUUUAAAAGCAUUUCAUCUGGAAAGCGUCUCAGGGAAAAACCUUACCCUUAGCUCACUCUAUGAGGUUAACCCUUCUUAAGCUACCUUAAUGAAGAAGGAUUGCUUUGUCAAGUUCAUCUCAAGGACUAAGACAGUCAACAAUCGCAGAGUAGAGUUUGAGAGAACUCAACGAUCAUGAUGUAACCUCAAUGAUCGUAGUGCAACCUCUCUCCCUCCCAUUUUCAAACCCUAGAAUCCUCUUCGAAGCUUAAAUCAAUUAAACCUCCAAAACCCAAAUCACAAUCAGCUAUCUCUCACAAAUCUCUCCGAAUCAUAUACCCUCAUCCCUCGAACUAUUCAAAUGGAAGAUUGGCGAGUAAUUACUAGCAUUCAGCUCGGAACCAAGUCUUUUGAGAAAUCCAAAAAGAUGUUCAGAGACAUUCUUGAACUUGUGAAGAAAGCUGGAUUCUCAGAUUGUCUUGAAGCUAGCACUCGAGUAUAUACUGAACUGGUCAAGGAAUUCUACUCAAAUGCAUCCAUAAAUGUCGGAACCCUUUCAACCAAGGUUAAAGGUCAGUCUCUUAAGCUGAAAUCAUCCGAUAUCAAUCAAUGCUUAGGUUUUUCUGACCUAGGACUGAGAGACCUUGAUGAGAUCGACACUGAGCAAGCAAAGGAGAUUAUGGGGUACCAAAGGAACCCUAGUCUGAAGGACAUAAAGAAAAAGGAGUUUCAUGAGGAAUUCGAGUUCCUUACUGAGAUAGUAGGCAAAUGUAUACUAUGCAAGGAUACGACACAUGACACUGUGCUUGAUCAACAACUGAAGAUUAUGUCUGCAAUAGUUCUGAAGAAGCGAAUAAACUUUGGAGUUAUCUUGUUUGAUCAGAUCUCCAAAUUGGUAGAAAAGGCUGAGUUGAAAACGUCUACAGAAAAUAACUUAGAAAAGUGUUUCAUGGAAGACUGCUAAGUAUUAUGAUGAAGAACAAGCUGGGAGGCAAAAUCAAGGAUGAUAAGGGAGAACCUCUGAAUGUUCACAAAGUAAUGUCUCCACAACUGUUUAUGAAUUGGAAGAAAAACCCCAAGGAGAACAAAAGGUUAACAACAACAGGGAGCAGCAGAAAGAACUCUACGAAAAAGAGGAAGGAGAAAGAGGUGGAAAGUUCUGAGUCUAGUGACUUAGCAACGGUAGCAGCCACACCAGCAAGGAAGAAAUCCAAAGGUGUGAAAAAAACUGAGGCCUUACCAAAAGGUCUCUCCAUGGAAGACAAGGAUGAAGAAGAAAAAGUCCUGACUACAGAAACCACUAAAAGGAGAAGUAACAUACUACUUCAAGGGCCAUCAAGAAAGAGAGCUAAGGUGGAAAACAAAACAGCCCCAGUUUCCCAAGAAAGUACAUCUGACGAAAAGGAGAAUGUAGAGUUAUAGGAAGAAAAGGGAACUAACGAUCUCAAGAUCAAAUCCCCAAAGAACGAAUCCAGCAAUGAAGCUGAAGUUGGAUUAAUGGAAGAAAAUGUAGAAUCUGCUGAUGAAGAAAAGCUACAAGAUGACCCAACUGCAUCUCCAAAUGCAAAUGAUCCAACAAGUCUAGAUGAUGGGUUAAAUGAUGUUGUCUCUAAAGGAGAAGGACAUGCACCUGCCAAUGUUGAAAGUCAAAAAAGCUUGCCUGAUGAUUUGAAGGCCUCAGAGUAUAAAGAGGAAGAAGAGUCUGACGCUCCCAUAGCUGAACCCCCAAGGAGAAAGAAGAGCUACAGAUUACUUGCUUAAUUUGCCUCCAAGAAGAGAAAUGAUCAAUCUACUGCAAUCAUUAAAUUAAGUGAUGAUGAAUCUGAAUCACAGGAAGAAAGUGCUGAAGAUGGGACUAGUAAUGAAGAGGAUGAAUCCAAGGAAGAUGUUGCUGAAGAAGGCUCUAGUAAUGAAAUUCAGCAAGAAGAAUUCACUGAUGAAUCUGAUGAAAGGAAUCAGCAAGAUUCAAGUUUAAGAAGUGAAGAAUUGAAGAAAGAUUUUGUUUCUGCAAAUGAGGAAUUAGAAGAAUCAGCAAACUAUCAUAUCAUCUCUCCAAUAAGGAUUAACAGAAGCAGGAUAGUGAAAGGCUCGGAUGAAUCACAAUAAGUAUUUCCAGAAAUUCCAAGCCUAGAACAGGUGUCUCAGAACUUCCCAAAGGUGAAGAACUAUGGAACAAUGAUGAUCAAAGACCAGCCCCACUACAAAAUCUAUAGACAUGUUGGCAACCAUUAUAUUCCCUACGAUCGUAGAGUGGACUCUAAAGGCAGAAGGAUUAUGGCCAAGGAAAUAAACGUAGAGUCUGUUCACUCUACCACUGAUGGUGCUCAAGUCCAAAAUGAAAAGCCUCAUCUGCUCAAACACUAUUGCCCAACAUUCCUUCAUCCCCCAAUAGCGAUUGGUACUCAACGAUUUUUCAGAUUCUCAACACUUUCAAAAAUCUAUUAUAGGAUGAAAAUUGUAGAGUCCAAUCUGGUGUUCAACAAGAAGUUGUCCAACCAGAUGACCAAAUUCAUAUGGAGAAGGAGCUGAUGAAAAAUUCUGAUGAUCUGAUUGAGAAAAUAUUGCUAAUCACUGAAGAGUCAAAGAGGUUGACAGAAACAGAAGAUAACUCAGUUCAAGACAGAAUCCAGGCCACCGUGGCUGAUGUAUCUCUCAAAAUCAAAGAGAGAGAUCACAUUUAUCUGAAGGCCAUACAUGAUCAGAAGGUUAAAGCUCUACGAGCACAAAAGGUCAAUGAAGAGAAACUCCAAGUCCUCUCUGACAAGAUUGACAACCUGAAUCAGUCUUUCUCCAUGCAAUUUGAGCUGAGCCAACAAGAACUCAAGAUCGAAGUUGGUAACUCCUCCUACCUGAUGGAACAACUUAUGUCCAACAUGAAGCAGCUCUCUCAAGUGAUUAAUGACAAAAAGGGGGAGAAAAAGAGGCAUAGAAAGAGGCUGAGUAAGAGGCACUCAAGAAAAAGCAAGAUCAGUAGAAGAAAAGAAGAGAAGAAAACAAAGAAAAAGACAGCACAAGAAGUAGCUGAGUCAUCAUCUAAGGGGGAGCCAAAGGAUGAUGAGCCUAAGGCUGAGGGGGAGCCAGAAGAAGAAGAGGAGCACACAUCUGUAGAGGAGCGGACAAAAGAAAUGAAGUCAACAUCCCAGGGGGAGCAGGUGCAAGAAGAUCAAACAGAUGAAUAGCUGAUCAACAGACUUCCUAGAAGCAUACAUGGAGCCAAAGAGGAACAUCUCUAACUAGUUAGGUAUGUUCUGGAUCUAGGAUAUAAAAUUUCAGUGUAUGUAAGUAAAUUAAAUUUCACAUCACUAUAAAUGACAUUCAUGAUUAUCUAUUUUAGAAAUACAAUUGCUCACUAUAUAUAAAAUUCAUUCAUAACAUGCAUAUGCACUUAUUAUUUUUGUCAUAAUCAAAUAGGGGGAGAUUGUCAGUGUGAGACCCCAAAUUUUAUGAAUAAAGAUUUAAAUUUCUCGAAAUAUUUUUUUCAAAAUUAUGGUGUGGAUUUGAGAUAAUGUUAUAGUUGUGGGUAAUAUUUAAAAAAUUUUAAAAGUAUGCAAGUUGUUGUAUAAUAUUCUUUUGUUCGGGGAAUAUUCUUUUUGUCGGGGAAUGUCCGUACGAUGACACAAUCAUUGGUGGACCCCACAACGGAAUUAUUGUCGAAUUGAGAAAACGACAAAAAUAUUUUUAUGAAAAUAACGGCGGAAGUUUUACCGUUAAAACUGUUGAACUACUCGGUAGUAAAAGUACAGUAAUAUGCGUGGUUGCAUAGUAGCACACGGUAUUGAUUAUUGAUGCUUACGUGAGAAGUAACUCAGUUUUGAUCAAUUAUUGCUACAGUAAUUGCUGCAUAGUAUCUCACGUUAUUUGAUUCAAUUAUUGUCGAUAUUUUAUAUAUUAUUAAAUCAAUAAUUGAGAUGACAGAGUUAUUAAUAUUAUUAUUUGUAAUAUGAACGAUGUCUGGAAGUUCUGCUAAGGAGAGGUUUGGUCACCUAAUUGCGCGCCAAUAGGGAGAAAUUCUUAUUGGAAAUCCCCCUCUUUCCUGGGAAUGAACUGGUCGAUUAAUAUUGUGAAUUAUAAUAAUGAUGAUAAAUAUUGUUAAAUAUAUUGAGGUGUCUUUUUAUGAAGUCACGGAAGUUUAUAUAUAUAUAUAUAUAUAAAUUUUGUUUUAUUAGUAUUAUUAAUAUAAUAAAACAGAAAAGCUUUUUAUAUAAAACAAAAUACUUUUAUAAAAUUAUUUGUUUUAUUAGACUAUAAAUAGAAUAUAUUAUAUUUUAUUAUACAUAAUGAUUGCAUAGUGCCUGCAUAGUGUUUGCAUAGUAAAAUCUUUUUAUAUAAAACAGAAUACUUUUAUAAAGUUAUUCAUUUUAUUAAAUUAUAAAUAGAAUAUAUUAUAUUUUAUUUAAAAGAUUUUGUUUUAUUUGAAUAUUUUAUUUAUACUGCAUAGUAAAUCAAUAUGGACCGUCUAUUCAAAAGUAAAUCAAUAUGGAUCGUUCAUGAAUUAGUUACUAUUCAGUCCAUUCUCCUAUAAAUAGAAGCUCAUUCCUUCAUUAUUUCUUACGAAUUCACUAAAACUCUAGAGAGAGAAACUAUAGAGAGAAAGAAGAAAAAUAUUCUGCUACUCACUUUUCCAAUAUCCAGCUUCUUCUAAGGUAAGAGGUAUUAUUCUUUUCUAUUCAUGAAGAGAACUUCUGUUAUUCCAUUCUUUAUUAUUCCGUUGGAAUAACCUGUAUAUGCGGACUACCCUAUAAUUGGUGAAAUUCUUCUGUUAUUCCAUUCUUUAUUAUUAUGUUGGAAUAACCUGUCUAUACGAAGUACCGCAUACAUGGUGAAAUUCUUCUGUUAUUCCAUUCUUUAUUAUUAUGUUGGAAUAACCUGUCUAUACGAAGUACCGCAUACAUGGUGAAAUUCUUCUGUUAUUCCAUUCUUUAUUAUUAUGUUGGAAUAACAUGUCUAUGUGAAGUACCGCAUAUAUGGUGAAAUUCUUCUGUUAUUCCAUUCUUUAUCAUUAUGUUGGAAUAACCUGUCUAUGCGAAGUCACGCAUACAUGGUGAAAUUCUUCUGUUAUUCCAUUCUUUAUUAUUCUGUUGAAACAUCUUGUCUGUGCGUUUACGCAUGACCUGGUUCCAUUAUUUAUUAUUCUGUUGGAAUAUCAUGUCGGUGCGUAUUACGCCUGACCUGGUUCCAUUAAUUAUUAUUCUGUUGGAAUAACCUGUAUGUGCGGUCUAUCACAUGCAUGGUGAUUUUUGUUGUUAUUCCAUUCUUUAUUAUUCUAUUGGAAUAUCCUAUCGGUGCGAAUUUUUCCUGACCUGGUUCUGUUAUUUAUUAUUCUUUUUGAAUAACCUAUUUGUGCGGUCUAUCGCAUGCCUGGUGAUUUCUUUUGUUAUUCCAUUCUUUAUUAUACUCAAUUGGUUAAAGUUUUGACUUCUAUACUCCAUGAAAUUAGUGGACUAUCCUUGAUAUUUGCACUUCAUCCAGUAUCUUUUAAUGGAAAUAUUCUUCUGAGCAUUCUUGAAUUUUACUCUACAAAGAAGUAUCAUGUUGACAAUUUGGACGUUAUUAGUUCUUGGAUAAAUUAAUUCUUGAACUUGUUUUAUUGAAUUCUUAUAUCAUUGUCAUCAUCCUCAUGUUUAUAUUAUGUUGAAAGUCAUUUGUGGCCUGUAGUGCAUAGAUGGACUUGAUAUGAUUAUGACCAGGGAUUAAUUAGUAUAAUCAUGACCGUAAUGUUACGAAUGAUGUGGUAAAAGUCCUCAUUGGCCCGUAGUGCAUUCAUGGACAGUUGUUGGCAUGAUCAUGACCAUUGAUGAAUACACGAAUAUCCUUGGCCCUUAGUGCAUGGAUAAUUUGUGGUUGUGAUACUAAUGAAUAUCCUUGGCUGUAGUGCAGGGAUUAUUUAUUAAGCUGACUCCCAGCGAUAAAAGUGAUGAAAAACCUUUUAAAUCAUAAAAGAUGGUAGAUUUUAUUCUCUACUUGACUCUUUUAAUGGAUUGCUUGUUCCGCUGUAGUUAAACUUGAUGUUUGUUAUAUUGUAUCAGUUGAACACUGUUGAAGGCUAACGAUAAUUUAUUCUGCAUUAUCUUAGUCAUAAUAUUUCUUACUGGGCUAGUUGAGCUCACCCUUUCUUUAACUGUUCUCUUCAGGAAAUGGGAACGUAGCUGGGACUAGUCAGGGAACGGAG
This 43375-nucleotide long non-coding RNA is filed under the name Panax ginseng (ginseng). RNAcentral's name for it is "long non-coding RNA (PGIN_LNC005251)". Lineage: Eukaryota; Viridiplantae; Streptophyta; Magnoliopsida; Apiales; Araliaceae. The record is from RNAcentral.